Molecule: long non-coding RNA, 1056 nt
Organism: Brassica napus (rape)
Lineage: Eukaryota; Viridiplantae; Streptophyta; Magnoliopsida; Brassicales; Brassicaceae
Exons: 3
Source: RefSeq, a predicted model, not a curated record
UUUGACCGUUGUAGUUAUUAUUAACUAAUAAAUAUCGCUUAAUAAUAAUAAAAAUAUGACCGUUGUAAUGAUCUAGCCGUUGGCUCCUCCUCCUCUUCGUAACUUCUAUAUAAGAAGCGCUCUGUCGUGCCUUCCUUUCCUCAUCAUCUUUCAUUCAUUCCUCACAAACUCAUUCACAAAAAAGAAAAUCAAGAAUCUGUUGGAGAGCAAUUAUAGGCGACAAGAGCAAAUAUUCAUUGAUCAAGUCAAGAGAGUACGGUGGUUAUUGAAGACGAAUAAGGCUGCGAACACAAAAUCAAAAGAAUUGUCAGCAGAAUUAAGGGGUUAAUUCAGUUGUCACUGAUAGCGCUAAGAACUUGGUGAUAGUGAAAGAGGAUCAUUGGCGUGGCGUCAAACAACUCAUUCCUUAUCUCAAGCUUAAACGCACCAUCGAAGUCAGUGGCUGAGGUACGAAAUCCUUUCAUCAUUAGUCUAUUUGUAGUAUGAGUGUAGAUUUUUAUGGGCAACUUGUUUUGAAAUCGUUUUCUACACGGAUUUUAAACUGUUUUAUUGUCAAAACUUUUCUUUUUGGAGGGAGUUUUUUUUUUAAAUUACUUAAUUGGUAAUUGAAGCUUAUGUGUAAUACUCAUAGUGUGUCGAAACAGAUAGAAUGUGCGUCCUGUCAUUGAUUUGAUUGUUAGAGAUCGUAAUGUUUCAUUUGUUUCGCACAUUUGGGAUAACUAAGUUCCUCUUAAUCAGUUUAGUGAUUAAAAAAAUUUCCCGAUGGUGUUUUCAUGUUUUGUUAAAAGUUUAAAAGGAUUUUUUUUGUCAAAGUUUUUUAGAGGAAUUUUCUUAAUUACUUAAUUGAUCCGGACGAAUGAAUGGGGAAGAGAUAUUGAAGAAGAACUUUGGUAUGUAUGAUAUGGUUUUGCAGCCAAAACAACUUUUAACGAUAUGUAGAGUUAAGGUCAAGUUGCUUGAGUGUUCGAUUGUGGAAGUUUCCACUUUGUGUGGCUGAUGGCUCGGAAGAUCGAUAUUUAGCUAAGGGCAUCUCCAAUGCAACACUAAAAUUUACUC